AGCUCCAAUAGCGUAUAUUAAAGUUGUUGCGGUUAAAAAGCUCGUAGUUGGAUUUCUGCCGAGGACGACCGGUCCGCCCUCUGGGUGAGUAUCUGGCUCGGCCUGGGCAUCUUCUUGGAGAACGUAGCUGCACUUGACUGUGUGGUGCGGUAUCCAGGACUUUUACUUUGAGGAAAUCAGAGUGUUUCAAGCAGGCAUACGCCUUGAAUACAUUAGCAUGGAAUAAUAAGAUAGGACCUCGGUUCUAUUUUGUUGGUUUCUAGAGCUGAGGUAAUGAUUAAUAGGGAUAGUUGUGGGUAUUCGUAUUCAGAUGUCAGAGGUGAAAUUCUUAGAUUAUCGGAAGACGAACGACUGCGAAAGCAUUUACCAAGGAUGUUU
RNAcentral lists this ribosomal RNA (378 nucleotides) under uncultured eukaryote. RNAcentral's name for it is "SSU rRNA". It matches the Rfam family "Eukaryotic small subunit ribosomal RNA", at positions 587 to 969 of the family's 1831-position model. The record is from RNAcentral.